This 1342-nucleotide ribosomal RNA is filed under the name uncultured bacterium. Its description in RNAcentral is "16S ribosomal RNA". It matches the Rfam family "Bacterial small subunit ribosomal RNA", at positions 28 to 1378 of the family's 1533-position model. The record is from RNAcentral.
GACGAACGCUGGCGGCGUGCUUAACACAUGCAAGUCGAACGGAAAGGCCCUGCUUUUGUGGGGUGCUCGAGUGGCGAACGGGUGAGUAACACGUGAGUAACCUGCCCUUGACUUUGGGAUAACUUCAGGAAACUGGGGCUAAUACCGGAUAGGAGCUCCUGCUGCAUGGUGGGGGUUGGAAAGUUUCGGCGGUUGGGGAUGGACUCGCGGCUUAUCAGCUUGUUGGUGGGGUAGUGGCUUACCAAGGCUUUGGCGGGUAGCCGGCCUGAGAGGGUGACCGGCCACAUUGGGACUGAGAUACGGCCCAGACUCCUACGGGAGGCAGCAGUGGGGAAUAUUGCACAAUGGGCGGAAGCCUGAUGCAGCUACGCCGCGUGCGGGAUGACGGCCUUCGGGUUGUAAACCGCUUUCGCCUGUGACGAAGCGUGAGUGACGGUAAUGGGUAAAGAAGCACCGGCUAACUACGUGCCAGCAGCCGCGGUGAUACGUAGGGUGCGAGCGUUGUCCGGAUUUAUUGGGCGUAAAGGGCUCGUAGGUGGUUGAUCGCGUCGGAAGUGUAAUCUUGGGGCUUAACCCUGAGCGUGCUUUCGAUACGGGUUGACUUGAGGAAGGUAGGGGAGAAUGGAAUUCCUGGUGGAGCGGUGGAAUGCGCAGAUAUCAGGAGGAACACCAGUGGCGAAGGCGGUUCUCUGGGCCUUUCCUGACGCUGAGGAGCGAAAGCGUGGGGAGCGAACAGGCUUAGAUACCCUGGUAGUCCACGCUGUAAACGGUGGGUACUAGGUGUGGGGUCCAUUCCACGGGUUCCGUGCCGUAGCUAACGCUUUAAGUACCCCGCCUGGGGAGUACGGCCGCAAGGCUAAAACUCAAAGGAAUUGACGGGGCCCCGCACAAGCGGCGGAGCAUGCGGAUUAAUUCGAUGCAACGCGUAGAACCUACCUGGGUUUGACAUGGAUCGGGAGUGCUCAGAGAUGGGUGUGCCUCUUUUGGGGUCGGUUCACAGGUGGUGCAUGCCUGUCGUCAGCUCGUGUCGUGAGAUGUUGGGUUAAGUCCCGCAACGAGCGCAACCCUUGUUCACUGUUGCCAGCACGUUAUGGUGGGGACUCAGUGGAGACCGCCGGGGUCAACUCGGAGGAAGGUGGGGAUGACGUCAAGUCAUCAUGCCCCUUAUGUCCAGGGCUUCACGCAUGCUACAAUGGCUGGUACAGAGAGUGGCGAGCCUGUGAGGGUGAGCGAAUCUCGGAAAGCCGGUCUCAGUUCGGAUUGGGGUCUGCAACUCGACCUCAUGAAGUCGGAGUCGCUAGUAAUCGCAGAUCAGCAACGCUGCGGUGAAUACGUUCCCGGG